AUGAACUAAUCCUUCCACCUUCC
This 23-nucleotide non-coding RNA is filed under the name Rattus norvegicus (Norway rat). The record is from RNAcentral. Lineage: Eukaryota; Metazoa; Chordata; Mammalia; Rodentia; Muridae.